Molecule: small nuclear RNA, 290 nt
Filed under: Octodon degus (degu)
Lineage: Eukaryota; Metazoa; Chordata; Mammalia; Rodentia; Octodontidae
Description: 7SK RNA (ENSODEG00000024051.1)
Rfam family: 7SK RNA
About the family: 7SK was discovered as an abundant small nuclear RNA in the mid-70s but a possible function has only recently been suggested.
Source: RNAcentral
GCACAGUGAGGGAUGUGAGGGCCAUCUGUCACCCCACUGAUCACCAAGGUUGAUUUGGCUAACCUGGCUGACUAGGCGGGUGUCGCCUUCCUCCCUCAGCAGUCCAUAUGCGUCCCUCCCAAAGCUGCGUGCUCGGUCGAAGAGGACGACCACCCCCAAUAGAGGAGGACCGUUCCUCGGUCAAGGGUAUAUGAGUAGCUGCGCUCCCCUGCUAGAACCUCCAAACAAGCUCUCAGGAGACAGCACAGUGAGAGCCACAGUCCUCUGCAGCAUGAGCUCUGCCUUUCCUG